Momordica charantia (bitter melon) is the source of this 392-nucleotide non-coding RNA. The record is from RefSeq and is a predicted model, not a curated record. NCBI's taxonomy places the organism in Eukaryota, Viridiplantae, Streptophyta, Magnoliopsida, Cucurbitales, Cucurbitaceae.
AUGCGACAACACGUUCUCAACCUGAUGGUCCACUUUAAUGUGGCAAAGAUGAACUAGGCCGUCAUAAACGAGCAGAAUCAGGUAAAUAUGUUCGUUGAGAGAAGUUAAUCCAUUGAAUGUGGUUACAUAAAGAAAGUGUUAUCAUCCGCAUAUGGUGUGAUCCAGACUAUGAUAUGAAACAUCACAAUCAAAUGGUAGAGAUGUAUCCAUGGAGGAGAAUAUCUUUGGAAGAGAUUGAUGAUCCAAACAAGCGUGCUGCUGACUGGAAAGAAAAAAACAAGAAGCUACAUUACGAAUAUCAACAUUCAGUUCCUAGCUGAAGGAUGAGAAUGUCCUCUUAAUUAUCCAGCAUAAGAACGAUGGAUAACAAAAGCUAAGUUCUUGACCAAAAA